AUGAAAAAACUGCUUCGUAACAUGUGAAGUCCAGAUCCAAGGGAACCUCAGAAAUCCAUUGAAGUUCCAUUGUUAAGAAGUUCUGUUUGUUUGGCAACUGCUUUAAACCCGAUAGAACAAGAUCAGAAGUGGCAGUCUAUAACUGAAAAUGUGGUAAAGUACUUGAAGCAAACAUCCCGCAUCACUAUUGGACCUCUGAGACUUUCUACUUUAACAGUUUCACAGUCUUUGCCAGUUCUAAGUACCUUGUAGCUGUAUUGCUCGUUUGCUUUGGAGACCACAGUUUCUAACAGACUUUCAACAGAGGACUGUCUUAUUCCACUCUUCGGCGAAGCUUUACGUUCAUGUAAACAGCAUGACGUGAGGCCGUGGAUGCAGGCAUUAAGGUAUACUGUGUACCAGAAUCAGUUGUUGGAGAAAAUUAAAGUUAAGUGGUUUUCCUUUUUUUUUUUUUUGUAAGAGAAAAUUAAA
RNAcentral lists this long non-coding RNA (471 nucleotides) under Homo sapiens (human). RNAcentral's name for it is "non-protein coding lnc-NPIPB12-2:3". Lineage: Eukaryota; Metazoa; Chordata; Mammalia; Primates; Hominidae. The record is from RNAcentral.